AUUAUACCGUGAAACUGCGAAUGGCUCAUUAAAUCAGUUAUCGUUUAUUUGAUAGUACCUUACCACUUGGAUAACCGUGGUAAUUCUAGAGCUAAUACAUGCUAAAAACCCCGACUUCGGAAGGGGUGUGUUUAUUAGAUAAAAAACCAAUGCCCUUCGGGGCUCUUUGGUGAUUCAUGAUAACCUAACGGAUCGCAUGGCCUUGCGCCGGCGACGGUUCAUUCAAAUUUCUGCCCUAUCAACUUUCGAUGGUAAGGUAUUGGCUUACCAUGGUUUCAACGGGUAACGGGGAAUUAGGGUUCGAUUCCGGAGAGGGAGCCUGAGAAACGGCUACCACAUCCAAGGAAGGCAGCAGGCGCGCAAAUUACCCAAUCCCGACACGGGGAGGUAGUGACAAUAAAUACUGAUACAGGGCUCUUUUGGGUCUUGUAAUUGGAAUGAGUACAAUUUAAACCCCUUAACGAGGAACAAUUGGAGGGCAAGUCUGGUGCCAGCAGCCGCGGUAAUUCCAGCUCCAAUAGCGUAUAUUAAAGUUGUUGCAGUUAAAAAGCUCGUAGUUGAAACUUGGGUCUGGCUAGCGGGUCCGCCUCACCGCGUGCACUUGUCCGGCUGGACCUUUCCUUCUGGAGAACCUCAUGCCCUUCACUGGGUGUGUUGGGGAACCAGGACUUUUACUUUGAAAAAAUUAGAGUGUUCAAAGCAGGCCUUUGCUCGAAUACGUUAGCAUGGAAUAAUAGAAUAGGACGUGCGGUCCUAUUUUGUUGGUUUCUAGGAUCGCCGUAAUGAUUAAUAGGGAUAGUCGGGGGCAUCAGUAUUCAAUUGUCAGAGGUGAAAUUCUUGGAUUUAUUGAAGACUAACUACUGCGAAAGCAUUUGCCAAGGAUGUUUUCAUUAAUCAGUGAACGAAAGUUAGGGGAUCGAAGACGAUCAGAUACCGUCGUAGUCUUAACCGUAAACUAUGCCGACUAGGGAUCGGGCGAUGUUUCUAUCUUGACUCGCUCGGCACCUUACGAGAAAUCAAAGUUUU
This 1026-nucleotide ribosomal RNA is filed under the name Seifertia azaleae. RNAcentral's name for it is "SSU rRNA". It matches the Rfam family "Eukaryotic small subunit ribosomal RNA", at positions 73 to 1107 of the family's 1831-position model. Lineage: Eukaryota; Fungi; Ascomycota; Dothideomycetes; Pleosporales; Melanommataceae. RNAcentral also lists the same sequence under 4 other names. The record is from RNAcentral.